UUCGAUCAUGGCUCAGAUUCUUACUGGCGGGAUCUUACAUGCAGGUCGGGCGGCAGCACGGACUUCGGUCUGGUGGCGAGUGGCGAACGGGUGAGUAAUGUAUCAGGACGUGCCCGCAAUGGCAGGGGAUAACUACGCAGCCGCGCUAAUACCGCAUACGCCCUUCGAGGAAAGCAGGAGGACCUUCGGGCAUCACGCUAUUAAACAGCCGAUAUCGGAUUAGCUAGUUGGUGGGGUAACGGCUCACCAAAGGCGACGAUCCAUGUGGUUUGAGAAGGACGACCAGCCACACAGGACUGAGACCUGGCCCAGACUCCUACGGGAGGCAGCGAGUGAAGAGUGCUGGACAAAAUGCGGAAACCUGAUCCAGCUACCUCCGCGUGUGCGAUGAAGGCCUUCGGGUUGUAAAAAGCACUUUUGGCAGAAAGAAACAGCGCAGGAUAAUGCCCCGUGCAACUGACGGUACCUGCAGAAUAAGCGCAAUGACUAACACGUGCCCGGCAGCCGCCUGAUAAAAUACGUAGGGUGCAAGCGUUAAUCGGAAUUACUGGGCGUAAAGCGUGCAGGCGGUUCGGAAAGAAAGAUGUGAAAUCCCAGAGCCAACUUUGGAACUGCAUUUUUUAACUUCCGAGCUGAAGUGUGUCAGAGGAGGUGGAAUUCCCACGCGUGUAGCAGUGAAAUGCGUAGAUAUGCGGAGGAACACCGAUGGCGAAGGCAGCCUCCUGGGAUAACGGCGCUCAUGCACGAAAAGCGUGAGGCAAACGGGAUUAGAUACACAGUAGUCCACGCCUAAACGAUGUCAACUAGCUGUUGGGGCCUUCGGGCCUUGGUAGCGCAGCUAACGUGAAGUUGACCGCCUGGGAGGUACGGUCGCAAGAUUGGAAAACUCAAAGAAUUGACGGGGACCCGCACAAGCGGUGGAUGAUGUGGAUUAAUUCGAUACAACGCGAAAAGCCUUCCUACCCUUGACAUGUCUGGAAUCCCGAAGAAGUUUGCGAGUGCUCGCAAGAACCCGGAACACAGGUGCUGCAUGGCUGCUCGUCAGCGCUCGUGUCGUGAGAUGUUGGGUUAAGUCCCGCAGCGAGCGCAACCCUUGUCAUUAAGUUGCUACGGGCUGCUCUAAUGAGACUGCCGAUGAAGCAAGCCGGAGAGGAAGGUGGGGAUGACGUCAAGUCCUCGCGGCCAUAUGGGUAGGGCUACACGUCAUACAAUGGUCGAGACGAAGAUUCGCCAACCCGCGAGAAGGCCAAUCCAGAAAACCCGAUCGUAGUCCGGAUCGCAGUCUGCAACUCGGCCCGUGAAGUCGGAAUCGCUAGUAAUCGCGGAUCAGCAUGUCGCGGUGAAUACGUUCGGGUCUUGUACACACCUUGCAUCCUACAUGCAAAUUAGGUUUUACUGCAGAAGUAGUUAGCCUAACCGUAAGGAGGGCGAUUACCACGACCAGGAUUCAUGGCUGGGGUGAAGUCAUCUUUCAUGGUAG
RNAcentral lists this ribosomal RNA (1480 nucleotides) under uncultured Bordetella sp. RNAcentral's name for it is "partial 16S-23S ribosomal RNA intergenic spacer". It matches the Rfam family "Bacterial small subunit ribosomal RNA". The record is from RNAcentral. Lineage: Bacteria; Pseudomonadati; Pseudomonadota; Betaproteobacteria; Burkholderiales; Alcaligenaceae.